UUCAUAUCGAUAUAUUUACAGAAACAAAUACAGUAGCUACUAUACAAAAUCUUACACAAAAUUUAGGUAUUUAUUGAUUGGAAACUUAUGCCAAAUUCUCAGGAAAAAAACAUUCAUUCAAUAAAAAUAUUUUUGGAAAUUUCGUGCUGACCAAUUUAGGGAGGUACAUAUAAAGGGAACAAGGCUAACAGAUGUGCACAUUCAAUUGCGAUCAAAAUAGAUUUCCAGGAAAUCAACCUCGCGCAUUCACUGGGUGAGAAGGAAGAUUGGAAAAUAAGAAAACAAUAGAAUCCGUGAACAAGGAUUCAAAUGGCAACUAUUGGGUGUUAUGACUCAAAUCAUUGAACAAAGGCUAGCAACAAUUUCCUGCAAAUCCAAGCAUCUCGAGAAUGUGCUAGAUUGUGUAAUUUUUUUAGGGAUCUGAUAUGUGAAUUGAGGGCCGAUCUUUCUCAUCCUCCUUAUUAACAAUUUCCUGCAACAAAACUUUAAUAA
Papaver somniferum (opium poppy) is the source of this 492-nucleotide long non-coding RNA. RefSeq lists it as uncharacterized. The record is from RefSeq and is a predicted model, not a curated record. NCBI's taxonomy places the organism in Eukaryota, Viridiplantae, Streptophyta, Magnoliopsida, Ranunculales, Papaveraceae. The transcript has 2 exons.